UAACAACAGAAUUCUCCGCUUAGUUAGCUCGCUAGCGUUGUUAGCAAACAACCGACUUGCGGAGAUUCAUAUACAGGUACCCGGCUCUUUUAAAUCAGCCGAUACUGGCUUUAUACUUUACGUAUAUCCAUGGAAAACUUGUCCUAACGUUUUCUCGUAGUCGACAACCGACUUUAUUUUGUGGAUUAAUGUGGACAUAAAAAAAGUGGACAACUCCAGUUGGUCUGUGGCUAAGUUAGUUAGCUAGCUAACUGUAGCGCAGACGCUAGCGUGACUAACGUGACGUCCGCAGGAGAACAUUGUGACUUAGAGGAAGGAAGGGAGGAAAGUGAUAAGUAGGAUCACUGCGCACCUCUGCUUAUGCAAAGCUAGCAUAUUUUUUGGUGUCCUGAGUUCUCGCAUUGUGACGCAUUAGGAAAAGGUGACUGUCUGUGCAGCCGGUGUGGCAUUUAACAGUACUUGGUUAAUAAGAUUGCUGUGAGUUGGCAUAGCUAGCUGUCAACAACAACAGCCCUCUUGGCUAGCUGUAUAGCGGACAAGAGCUAGCACGCUAGCCACAAACUUUUAAAGAAGUUGUGUAAGUCCGAUCCAGCUAUCUUUGGCUGAUUUGGGUUAAACGGCAAACCGGUGUUUUAGCUUUUCACUGUCGGGACUAUUUUGCUCCGAUCCGCUCUAGAAGUAGGGCGACAGGAGAAACUCAUGGCAUCGGAUGUGAUUGAGAGUGAAGCGGUGCUGAAGGGUGUAAGUGAUAUGAAUUUGAACAAUAGCAGCUCAGAUUUUGUCACACCCAGGAGGACUCAUGAGGAGCUGGGAAACAGACACACGUCUAGUCCCUCGUCUUCUGGAGUGUCAGGAGAAGGCGACGACGAGGAAAUAGACGACUUAGAAAAUAGCACAGCUUCCACAGUUGAAAAUGGCGAAGAGGCACUUCAAGAGAGUCUUACCAAAACAAGAGGUACGCCACAGGAAAGGACAACUCCAGACAAUGAGCUGAAACAGCCCGGAGCAAGAAGUUCUACCCCAGUGAGCCUGCCCCAGCCACGCUCGCCACCUGGACCCCUUGGAAGCCUGGAGCGACAAGAGUCAGUCGCCACAACAGAAGCUCGCUUAAGAAUGGAGGGUGUUGAACUUAAGGAAGAGUGGCAAGAUGAAGACUUUCCACGGCCCUUACCGGAAGAAGAGGAGCUUGAAGAUGAGCUUUUUGCCGGAACCUCUGAAGAGAUAGACCCUGGUUAUGCAAUGGAUCAUGGCAAGAAGGCAAAGAAGAAGCUUGCAGCUCCGGACAUCAGUUUAACACUGGACCGCAGCGAAGGUUCUCUUCUCUCUGAUGAGCUGGAUGAAAGUACAGAGCUGGACCUCGAUGACAUAGACACACCUUCAGACAACAGCAAUGAGUUUGAAUGGGAAGAUGAUCUCCCCAAGCCGAAAACCACAGAACUUCUACAGAAGGGCGUGGAGUCAGUGCAGGAGUACGCUGCCUCGGAUGAGAGGGAGGAGGGUCGACGCUGGAGGGUGUUUCGUAUUGGAGACCAGGAACACAGAGUGGACAUGAAGGCCAUUGAACCUUACAAGAGAGUUAUUAGCCAUGGAGGUUACUAUGGAGACGGCUUGAAUGCCAUAAUUGUGUUCGCUGUGUGCUUUAUGCCUGAAAGCAAUCAACCAAAUUACAGAUACAUCAUGGACAAUUUAUUCAAGUAUGUCAUCGGCACGCUGGAGCUUUUGGUUGCCGAGAACUAUAUGAUUGUGUAUUUGAAUGGAGCAACCUCUCGGAAAAAGAUGCCCACUGUCGGCUGGCUCAGAAAGUGUUAUCAGCAGAUUGAUAGGAGGUUAAGGAAGAACUUGAAGUCUUUGAUAAUUGUACAUCCCUCUUGGUUUAUUCGCACCCUGCUGGCACUCACAAAACCUUUCAUAAGCUCCAAAUUUAGUCAGAAAAUCAAGUAUGUGUUCAGCUUGACAGACCUUGCAGAACUGGUUCCGAUGGAGUAUGUGUCCAUACCAGAUUGUAUCAAACAGUUUGACGACGAAAAAAAUAAGAAAAGCUGUAAAAGGUAUAUGCACUUUCACCCAGGGUCAGUCUGUCAGCAUUCUGUUAUUCUUGCAUUUCACAAAACUAACAACAAAAUGAUCUGUUGGCUUUCAGAAAUGCACCAAUACACCUCAUUCUCUGCCGCGUGUUUGUAGUCUGAUGAUUUGCUUUUGCCUUCUGGCCAAAAUUAACAACUUUGCUCCCCAAACGUCCCACAUUUCCCUCCCGGCAGAUUCAGAACAUUCCCUUAAAAGCAGGCUGAGAAGCUGUCUGAUUGAUUUCCAAAAAUAGGUGCCUUGGUGAUUGUUUAACCAACUAAAUCCCAUUUCUGAGCCAAUUUUGUAAAGUUUAAUGAAGUUUAACCAGGUACAGCCAAUUCUUGUGAAAGGUUUUUUUUUUUAAUUAUUGCUUUAAAGUAACAUCAGCUGUCUGUAUGUGGUUUAAAAUGUUCAAUGUGAUAAUCACUACUGGAUUUUAUGUCAACAACAAGUUAGAGCAGUUUUGAGGUAAAUAAUUGCAUUUCUGCUUUCUGAUAUUAAAGUUGAGGCAUCAAGUAGCACUUACAUGCAUGUCUUUUUAAAAAAACAGGUUUGGAUUUUAAUGUGGUUUAUGUUGGAAUCGACCAGGACAUGCAUGGCAAAGUGGAGAUCGCAGCUGCUGCUGUUCCAGAGUGACCCUGCAACAUGUGGAGGAGGAGAUCUUAUGUUUGUGUUCUGGGGGCAACGUGACUGAAGACUAAAGCUCUGCGCAUCAACAAAGUGCCUUUCUGAAACUAUGCUGCCUGUUACAUCGUGGGACUUUUUACAACUUGAUCUUUUUUCCACAUGCUGUCUGAAACCUUGAUCUUUUUUUCCUUUUUUUAAUUUACUGCCUAUAUAUCAUGUCAAAGUUAGCUUAUUGGUGUUUCCUAGUUACUGGUGUAUCUACACGUUAUUUAAGGCACUCUGUUACAAAUGGUUGAUGCAUGUUCUGCUUUAUUACAUUUAAAUAUAUAUUUAUAUUCAAAGGGUGACAAAGGAGAGAAAUUAAUAUAUUUUUAUGGUUGCUCUGAUUUUUAAACUGCAUUUUAGGUCACUGACCCAUAAAGUGGCAUUUUCAUAGAACAAGUUUUGACAGCACCUUUUUUCACUGUUCACUGCUGAUGUUCUCUAUCAAAAUCCUGCCUGGGGAAAAUAAAGUUUUAUUUUUUGUCCCUCACUUGAAUGUGCCCUCUGACUUAUGGAGGGAGAACAUUUUGUGAGAACAACAAUCUGAAACGAAGAUGUAGGUCUUAAUGUAACAAUUCCUCCAAGUAAAGUCAUUGAA
Centropristis striata (black sea bass) is the source of this 3331-nucleotide RNA transcript. It is a transcript of the gene named BCL2 interacting protein 2, with no coding region annotated. Lineage: Eukaryota; Metazoa; Chordata; Actinopteri; Perciformes; Serranidae. The transcript is spliced from 11 exons. The record is from RefSeq and is a predicted model, not a curated record.